GCUCACUAUAUUCAGCGGCUCCGGUGCGCUCGAAACUUUAUUCACUCCAGAUUCCAACACAGAGACGGACCUGUCGAGCUCUCUAAUCCCCACUGCAAGCUAAGCACUCACUGGAUAGAACACACGGACAACUUUUUACAGAGCUAUUUCCGCCUCUCUAUUUUUGGUUUUCAUUACGGGACUUAAACCUGGGAUUGUACCAUUUAAAAAAGACGCACUUUUUGUUGUUGAAAUAUUUAAAUGUCAUGGUUUUUCAUGUUCAUUGUAUAAAUAAUAAUUUUGGGUAUAGUACUCGAAAUAUUUGAGAACAAGGGAAACUGUUACACAUGUUUUCCAACCUCUGAAGAAGACUUAACAAGUUAUUCGUUCGUGGGGGUCGAUAACAAGUGCAAUGAUUGCCAAGGUCUUCUGUUGGGAUUGCCUUACUGCUCAACUCGUCUAAGGAGCCAGCCAUGUCCUUUUGUCUGCUCUACUUCUGUCACGGAGAGAGGGCUCGGAGUGGCGGACGCGCACGAAUGUGAAUUACAUUGCAGUCAACUACCCUACUUCAAAGCACUUCAGAUAUCCGCACAGUUCCACAAACAAGUGUUUAGGAGUUGUACCGCGGGCGACUGAACGAGACGACUCACAUGUUCCUCUCCCCAAGGGAUGGUUCUUGAUCAUCCGCGGGCAGGAGCGACUUUGCGGCUCCUACAGCAGGAGACGUUUUCUUGUUUUGGGCGAAAUCGGAAUUAAAGGGAAAUGAGACCCGUACUUUGCUACUUCCUGCUCUGUACAUCGUACCUGCUGAAUGCUGUUGCUGAGGAAGUCCCGCAGGAGUUGAUAGAGAGACUGUCCCACAGCGAAAUCCACAGUAUCAGCGACCUCCAGCGGCUAUUGGACUCCGAGAUAGACGCCCCCGUAGGUGCGGAAAAUGAGGUCAUCGAGGAGACCAAGCCGAUGCAGAAGCAUCAUAAGAACUACUCCCAACAGCAUGGCUACUCAGACCUGAAGAGCUCACAGAUACACAGCCGACGCAAGAGGAGCGUUGAGGAGGCCGUGCCUGCGGUGUGUAAGACGCGGACGGUGAUAUAUGAGAUCCCGCGCAGCCAGGUGGACCCCACGGCUGCCAACUUCCUGAUAUGGCCGCCGUGCGUAGAGGUCAAGAGGUGCACGGGAUGCUGCAACACCAGCAACAUGCGCUGCCACCCCUCACGCAGGCACCACCGCACCGUUAAGGUGGCCAAGGUGGAGUAUGUGCGGAGGAAACCCAAGCUGAAGGAGGUCUUGGUCCGGUUAGAAGACCACCUGGAGUGUGUGUGCCAGUCACAACAUCACGUGACCGAGCACUCAGACGCAGACACAGACCACCAUACUAGGACUAAAGGUAGGAAAAGGAAACCUAAAAAGCUAAAGCUCAACAAGGAUUUAUUGGCGACAUAAUAAACUUGAACACAUUAUUCCAAAGUUCGACCGCCGGACCCCCCGGCUCCAACAGUGGACGUAAGGUGAGACCCCAGCAGCAUUGGACUUCAGUGUGGAAGGGGCCAAAGAGAGGAUGCUGCCAUAUUUGGACUGCUGACCUAGCCCCUUCCCUGACCCCACCCCACGCCACCUACCGCCUUUUAAAAACAAAGAUUACUGUAAAGAGAAAAAAAGACAAAAAGUUAAGAAAAUGCCAAAGGUGCUUUUUUCUAUUACCGUAAAAAGUAAUUCAGAAGGUCUCUGCCAAGCGCAGCAGAACCAACCAAUCGAACAAUGACGCGGAUGAGGAUGGUGAAGCCGAUAAAGAGCUGGGCAGAAAAGAGAGGAGGAGGAGGACAAGAUGGGUUGUCGUUUGUUGAGUAAACAGGACAAUUUGACGAUCACAGAGAGAGAUCCAGGAUGGAUCAUUGGAUUAAGCCUCAAUGGGGGAUCUAUCGACUGGAUCCUAAAAGGACACAGAGAGAGAUCCAGGAUGGAUCUUUGGAUUAAGCCUCAAUGGGGGAUCUGUCGACUGGAUCCUAAAAGGACACAGAGAGGGACAGUGGACUCUUCGGGACGUGUGGAGGCUUGCAUGCUCCUAGCCGUUGGCCUAAGUGACACUUGCCUGGACAGUCAAUGACUGACAGAGAGAGAGGGAGAGAGGGAAAGAGAUUAGAGUAGUUGUAGAGAGGUGUAGAAGGUACUGGUCGUGUUGCUUGUUGUUCCAGAACUCUCUGUACACUGUAGUGGAACUUGUGAACAUUCUGGAACUCAUAAAAUGGUCACCCAUUUAGUCUAUUUUGGAUAAAGAGUUGGGAAAAGUGUUUGGAGUCAUCAGGAUCUGUUAUUCCAAGAUGUCUUCUCUGCUUCUCUCUCCUGGGUUCCCCUGUCUGCUCCUAUUGGGAUUGUGCCAGUCACCAUAUACACUACAGAACCAUUCAGAAAGGAAGAUUCAUUCAUUGCUACUAAUAAACUAUUUAUACGUGUGAACGUUUUCCUCUCUCUCUCCCUCCAAGACAUGAUGCUUUCUGUGACAUGUAGGAUUCAUGUUCUGUCUGAUCUUCUGGUAGUGAAUCUUCAUGUCUACAUGUUGUUUGUAGUUGUUCAUGUAGUUGUUACUCAUGUUCAAUGUUGCCUUACUAUGUGCCAGUAUAUUAUCUGAACAGUCUCUAGUUGUAUGGUCUGGAAAUGGAAGGAAGCGUGAGAAGGAGGAGAUGGGAGGACAGAGUCUGUACAAGUACAGGAAGAUGCUUUAUUUUUGUUAAAAAUAUAUAUUAUGCUUACUUAUA
RNA transcript from Oncorhynchus gorbuscha (pink salmon), 2732 nucleotides. It is a transcript of the gene named platelet-derived growth factor subunit A-like, with no coding region annotated. The transcript is spliced from 7 exons. Lineage: Eukaryota; Metazoa; Chordata; Actinopteri; Salmoniformes; Salmonidae. The record is from RefSeq and is a predicted model, not a curated record.